CCUUCGCCUACCACUGAACUUGUGGCUGGUAAGCUGCACCAUCUGAUAAACGAAUUCCAAUCCCUCCCCGAAUCAAUCUACCGAGUGAAACGAGUCCUUCACUAUGCCUCUCUUCUCCCUCCUUUUCCGGACUCGUCCCGUAUUGACUCCAAUCGGGUCAUGGGCUGCACGGCCCGAGUCUGGCUCGAUGCUCAGCUUGAUCACUGUGGAAAGAUAAGAUUUUUAGCUGACAGCGAUUCGGAGAUUACGCGAGGGUUAUGUGCUUGUUUGUUAUCGGUGCUGGAUGGGGCGGCACCCGAAGAGGUGUUGAGCUUGAAGACAGAGGAUUUGGUGGCGCUGAACGUGGGGUUGCCUGGCGGCGAGAGGUCGAGAGCGAAUACUUGGCAUAAUGUGUUGGUGAGUAUGCAGAAGAGCACGAAGAAAUUGAUAGCGGAAAGGGAAGGGAAGAAGCCUUUCGAUCCAUUUCCUUCAUUGAUUAUCACUUCAAAGGGUAUUCAAGCCAGGGGAAGCUACGCCGAAGCCCAGGCAAGAUAUUUGUUACCAGAUGAGUCCAAGGUUCAUGAACUUGUCAACGUGCUAAAGGAGAAGAAAAUUGGUGUUGUUGCCCACUUUUACAUGGACCCUGAAGUUCAAGGAGUCUUAACUGCUGCACAGAAGCAUUGGCCUCACAUCCAUAUAUCUGAUUCAUUGGUCAUGGCAGAUAGUGCUGUAAAGAUGGCUAAAGCUGGAUGCAAAUUCAUAACAGUCUUGGGUGUAGAUUUUAUGUCGGAAAAUGUGCGUGCAAUUCUUGAUCAAGCUGGCUUUGCAGAGGUUGGUGUUUAUAGGAUGUCAAAAGAGCGCAUUGGUUGUUCUUUGGCAGAUGCUGCAUCUAGCCCUGCUUAUAUGGAUUAUCUUGAGGCAGCUUCUGGGUCUCCGCAUUCUUUGCAUGUUGUCUACAUAAAUACUUCACUUGAGACAAAAGCUUAUGCUCAUGAGCUUGUGCCUACAAUCACAUGUACUUCUUCUAACGUUGUGCAGACUAUCCUGCAGGCUUUUGCUCAAAUUCCAGAUUUAAACGUAUGGUAUGGGCCUGAUUCAUACAUGGGUGACAAUCUUGCAAAAUUGAUUCAACAAAUGACAUUGAUGACAGAUGAUGAAAUUGCUGAAGUACAUCCAGCACAUAAUAGAGACACCAUAAGAGCAUUGUUAUCUCGCUUGCAUUAUUAUCAGGAUGGAACAUGUAUUGUUCAUCAUCUUUUUGGAUAUGAAGUUGUGGAUAGGAUAAAUGAGAUAUAUUGUGAUGCUUUCCUAACUGCUCACCUGGAGGUCCCUGGAGAAAUGUUUUCUUUGGCAAUGGAAGCAAAGAGGAGAGGAAUGGGGGUAGUAGGUUCCACCCAAAACAUAUUAGAUUUUAUAAAGCUGAGAGUUCAAGAGGCACUAGAUAGAAAUGUCAACGAUCAACUCCAAUUUGUGUUAGGAACAGAAUCAGGAAUGAUCACUUCAAUUGUUGCAGCAGUUCAGCAUUUGCUAGGUUCUGCAAAGUCUUGUGGGGGAGCCAAAAUUAAUGUUGAAAUUGUCUUUCCAGUCUCAUCAGACUCGAUAACAAGAACAUCACCAAAUUCAUCUACUGGUCUAAAAUCUGUAAAUGCAGGGGACUUUGUGUUACCUGUUGUACCCGGAGUUGCUAGUGGGGAGGGAUGUUCUAUUCAUGGUGGCUG
RNAcentral lists this unclassified non-coding RNA (1697 nucleotides) under Hevea brasiliensis (rubber tree). The record is from RNAcentral. Lineage: Eukaryota; Viridiplantae; Streptophyta; Magnoliopsida; Malpighiales; Euphorbiaceae.